RNAcentral lists this ribosomal RNA (1617 nucleotides) under Staphylococcus aureus. Its description in RNAcentral is "partial 23S ribosomal RNA". It matches the Rfam family "Bacterial large subunit ribosomal RNA", at positions 1312 to 2925 of the family's 2925-position model. The record is from RNAcentral. Lineage: Bacteria; Bacillati; Bacillota; Bacilli; Caryophanales; Staphylococcaceae.
GAAAGACGGGUGAGAAUCCCGUCCACCGAUUGACUAAGGUUUCCAGAGGAAGGCUCGUCCGCUCUGGGUUAGUCGGGUCCUAAGCUGAGGCCGACAGGCGUAGGCGAUGGAUAACAGGUUGAUAUUCCUGUACCACCUAUAAUCGUUUUAAUCGAUGGGGGGACGCAGUAGGAUAGGCGAAGCGUGCGAUUGGAUUGCACGUCUAAGCAGUAAGGCUGAGUAUUAGGCAAAUCCGGUACUCGUUAAGGCUGAGCUGUGAUGGGGAGAAGACAUUGAGUCUUCGAGUCGUUGAUUUCACACUGCCGAGAAAAGCCUCUAGAUAGAAAAUAGGUGCCCGUACCGCAAACCGACACAGGUAGUCAAGAUGAGAAUUCUAAGGUGAGCGAGCGAACUCUCGUUAAGGAACUCGGCAAAAUGACCCCGUAACUUCGGGAGAAGGGGUGCUCUUUAGGGUUAACGCCCAGAAGAGCCGCAGUGAAUAGGCCCAAGCGACUGUUUAUCAAAAACACAGGUCUCUGCUAAACCGUAAGGUGAUGUAUAGGGGCUGACGCCUGCCCGGUGCUGGAAGGUUAAGAGGAGUGGUUAGCUUCUGCGAAGCUACGAAUCGAAGCCCCAGUAAACGGCGGCCGUAACUAUAACGGUCCUAAGGUAGCGAAAUUCCUUGUCGGGUAAGUUCCGACCCGCACGAAAGGCGUAACGAUUUGGGCACUGUCUCAACGAGAGACUCGGUGAAAUCAUAGUACCUGUGAAGAUGCAGGUUACCCGCGACAGGACGGAAAGACCCCGUGGAGCUUUACUGUAGCCUGAUAUUGAAAUUCGGCACAGCUUGUACAGGAUAGGUAGGAGCCUUUGAAACGUGAGCGCUAGCUUACGUGGAGGCGCUGGUGGGAUACUACCCUAGCUGUGUUGGCUUUCUAACCCGCACCACUUAUCGUGGUGGGAGACAGUGUCAGGCGGGCAGUUUGACUGGGGCGGUCGCCUCCUAAAAGGUAACGGAGGCGCUCAAAGGUUCCCUCAGAAUGGUUGGAAAUCAUUCAUAGAGUGUAAAGGCAUAAGGGAGCUUGACUGCGAGACCUACAAGUCGAGCAGGGUCGAAAGACGGACUUAGUGAUCCGGUGGUUCCGCAUGGAAGGGCCAUCGCUCAACGGAUAAAAGCUACCCCGGGGAUAACAGGCUUAUCUCCCCCAAGAGUUCACAUCGACGGGGAGGUUUGGCACCUCGAUGUCGGCUCAUCGCAUCCUGGGGCUGUAGUCGGUCCCAAGGGUUGGGCUGUUCGCCCAUUAAAGCGGUACGCGAGCUGGGUUCAGAACGUCGUGAGACAGUUCGGUCCCUAUCCGUCGUGGGCGUAGGAAAUUUGAGAGGAGCUGUCCUUAGUACGAGAGGACCGGGAUGGACAUACCUCUGGUGUACCAGUUGUCGUGCCAACGGCAUAGCUGGGUAGCUAUGUGUGGACGGGAUAAGUGCUGAAAGCAUCUAAGCAUGAAGCCCCCCUCAAGAUGAGAUUUCCCAACUUCGGUUAUAAGAUCCCUCAAAGAUGAUGAGGUUAAUAGGUUCGAGGUGGAAGCAUGGUGACAUGUGGAGCUGACGAAUACUAAUCGAUCGAAGACUUAAUCAAAA